GAUACAACACCGAUGGAUGAGCUUAUGGCGUAUUAGCUAGUAGGUGAGGUAACGGCCCACCUAGGCGAUGAUACGUAGCCGACCUGAGAGGGUGACCGGCCACAUUGGGACUGAGACACGGCCCAAACUCCUACGGGAGGCAGCAGUAGGGAAUUUUCGGCAAUGGGGGGAACCCUGACCGAGCAACGCCGCGUGAGUGAAGAAGGUCUUCGGAUUGUAAAGCUCUGUUGUGAAGGAAGAACGCGCCGGAUAGGGAAUGAUCCGGCGGUGACGGUACUUUACCAGAAAGCCACGGCUAACUAC
Molecule: ribosomal RNA, 303 nt
Filed under: uncultured bacterium
Lineage: Bacteria
Description: bacterial SSU rRNA
Rfam family: Bacterial small subunit ribosomal RNA
Source: RNAcentral